Molecule: ribosomal RNA, 507 nt
Filed under: uncultured bacterium
Lineage: Bacteria
Description: bacterial SSU rRNA
Rfam family: Bacterial small subunit ribosomal RNA
Source: RNAcentral
UUAUGGCUCAGGAUGAACGCUAGCGACAGGCCUAACACAUGCAAGUCGAGGGGCAGCACAAGGAGCAAUCUGAGGUGGCGACCGGCGCACGGGUGAGUAACACGUAUGCAACCUGCCUGUAAGCGGGGAAUAACCCGUUGAAAGACGGACUAAUACCGCAUAAUACUAAAUUACUGCAUGGUAAUUUAUUUAAACAUUUAUGGCUUACAGAUGGGCAUGCGCAUGAUUAGCUAGUUGGAGAGGUAACGGCUCCCCAAGGCAACGAUCAUUAGGGGUUCUGAGAGGAAGGUCCCCCACACUGGUACUGAGACACGGACCAGACUCCUACGGGAGGCAGCAGUGAGGAAUAUUGGUCAAUGGACGAGAGUCUGAACCAGCCAAGUCGCGUGCAGGAAGAAAUGUCCUAUGGAUUGUAAACUACUUUUGCAGGGGAAUAAAGUGCAUCACGUGUGAUGUUUUGUAUGUACUCUGCGAAUAAGGGUCGGCUAACUCCGUGCCAGCCGCCGC